RNAcentral lists this ribosomal RNA (323 nucleotides) under uncultured Rhizobium sp. RNAcentral's name for it is "bacterial SSU rRNA". It matches the Rfam family "Bacterial small subunit ribosomal RNA", at positions 340 to 680 of the family's 1533-position model. Lineage: Bacteria; Pseudomonadati; Pseudomonadota; Alphaproteobacteria; Hyphomicrobiales; Rhizobiaceae. The record is from RNAcentral.
UACGGGAGGUAGUAGUGGGGAAUAUUGGACAAUGGGCGCAAGGGUGAUCCAGCCAUGGCGCGUGAGUGAUGAAGGUCGUAGGGUUGUAAAGCUCUUUCUCCGGAGAAGAUAAUGACGGUAUCCGGAGAAGAAGGCCCGGCUAACUUCGUGCCAGCAGCCGCGGUAAUACGAAGGGGGCUAGCGUUGUUCGGAAUUACUGGGCGUAAAGCGCACGUAGGCGGACAUUUAAGUCAGUGGUGAUAUCCCAGAGCUCAAAGCGGGAACGGACUGAGAUAAAAGGUGACUGGAGUAUGGAAGAGGAAAGAGGAAUUCCGAGAGAAGAG